RNAcentral lists this ribosomal RNA (473 nucleotides) under uncultured Veillonella sp. Its description in RNAcentral is "bacterial SSU rRNA". It matches the Rfam family "Bacterial small subunit ribosomal RNA", at positions 911 to 1392 of the family's 1533-position model. Lineage: Bacteria; Bacillati; Bacillota; Negativicutes; Veillonellales; Veillonellaceae. The record is from RNAcentral.
CGCCCGGGGCGCGCCCCGGGCGGGGCGGGGGCACGGGGGGAACGCGAAGAACCUUACCAGGUCUUGACAUCCCUCUGACCGCUCUAGAGAUAGAGUUUUCCUUCGGGACAGAGGUGACAGGUGGUGCAUGGUUAUCGUCAGCUCGUGUCGUGAGAUGUUGGUUAAGUCCCGCAACGAGCGCAACCCCUAUUGUUAGUUGCCAUCAUUCAGUUGGGCACUCAUGAGAGACUGCCGCAGACAAUGCGGAGGAAGGCGGGGAUGACGUCAAAUCAUCAUGCCCCUUAUGACCUGGGCUACACACGUACUACAAUGGGAGUUAAUAGACGGAAGCGAGAUCGCGAGAUGGAGCAAACCCGAGAAACACUCUCUCAGUUCGGAUCGUAGGCUGCAACUCGCCUACGUGAAGUCGGAAUCGCUAGUAAUCGCAGGUCAGCAUACUGCGGUGAAUACGUUCCCGGGCCUUGUACACACCG